This 444-nucleotide ribosomal RNA is filed under the name Triticum aestivum (bread wheat). RNAcentral's name for it is "partial small subunit ribosomal RNA". Lineage: Eukaryota; Viridiplantae; Streptophyta; Magnoliopsida; Poales; Poaceae. The record is from RNAcentral.
AUGGCGUCGGCGCCGGGGCAGUGGGCGUGGAUGGCCGCGGUUGCGGCGGAGGAGCUGGCGAAGCUGGAGGCCGCGCACCCGGGCCGCCUCGGCCCGCUCAAGGACGAGCUCAGGCGCCUCGUCUCCAAGCCCGGCUGGGACGACGACGACGCGUUCGCGCUCGCCUGCCUGGACGGCGGCGCCCCCACCGGCUGCUCCUCCCCGUCCUCCUCGUCCCACCCUGCUGCGCCCGCGGACCUUAUGUUCACGCAAGAGUCCUCGACCAACAAGAGGAAGUGGUGCGGCGGCGGCGGCGCGGCCGGCCUCGAGCAGGGGAAGCGCCGGAGGAAGAAUGCGGCUUCGGGGGUGAAGGACCGGGCGGACAUGGCCAUCGACCGCGCCAAGAAGUGCCUGAAGAAGAUACGCGCCAUCAAGCGGAGCUUGCUUGCCUGUGUCACGGAUUGA